Molecule: long non-coding RNA, 607 nt
Organism: Nannospalax galili (Upper Galilee mountains blind mole rat)
Lineage: Eukaryota; Metazoa; Chordata; Mammalia; Rodentia; Spalacidae
Exons: 3
Source: RefSeq, a predicted model, not a curated record
UUUGUGCGGCUGCAGGAGGUCACAAGAUCCAUGCUUGGGUGUGGACUUUCCAGCCGGGCAAAUCGGGAGCGGGGGUUGCCCACUCUUUGUUAUGUCCAACUCUUCCAACAGUCUACAUAAAUGGAAUGUGCCAGAUACUCUUGGACUUAAGGAUAUGUGCUUGAGACUUACCCACACUAAACCUAUGUGCUUGUUCUUUUUCAUUGGACAUCUUGCCCAAGGAGAAACAUCAGCAAAUUAUGGUGCAUCUGGAAGAGAAAAGACUCCAGAAUAAAGAAGAAACAGAGAACUAAUUUAUGUAAGAAUUGAGAGAUCCAGGAUAUGCCUCCUUCCAACUCCUGCUCCAUUUCAUGGGUCCAGCGUUUUGCCCCACCAAUACCAGCUUGCUGCCCCUGAGAAGACCCCUGCAGCCACAUCACCUGGAAUCCUUAGUCCUUACCUGUCCUUCCAACCUUUUUCCAUCAUCCUUGGAAUACACAACAGAGAGAUGACAUGCAAACACGGAGGAUGAAAAUGGACAGGUUGGGUCAUUGAAGGGUUGCAUGAAUUUAUUGUAUUCACAAGGAAAUGCUAUGAUUAUAUUAAAUAUAAACUUUCAUUUCUUUGA